This is a long non-coding RNA of Toxorhynchites rutilus septentrionalis, 2481 nucleotides long. RefSeq lists it as uncharacterized. Lineage: Eukaryota; Metazoa; Arthropoda; Insecta; Diptera; Culicidae. The record is from RefSeq and is a predicted model, not a curated record. The transcript is spliced from 5 exons.
GUUGAAACAUUGGUAAAAUGUACAAAUUUUUUGUACAUAUUACCAAAAUCCGGUAAAACUGAUGUCAGAUGUAAUGUACAUCCCUACCAGAGAUUCGUACAUUUUACUUCAUGCCAUUUGUAACCUUCAAUGUUUUCAUUCCUAGCGACUGUGAAGUGCGCACUUCGUAAUCGCCAUUUUUUUGUGGAAGCGAAGCAAUUCGGAGAUAUUCCGAAAUAUACUCAUUUUGGACGACGUUUCUUCUAUUCUACUACUGAUAGAAGCAUUUCCAUUUGCGAUCAAUCGUAAACGAACAUUUUACAACAGCCAUGAUUCGAUGCUAAUAUUUGGCGAUACAAACUAGGGAAAGGAAGAACCAAUAACGAUUCACCAUCGGUCCGUGCAAACGGUAUCAAAUGAGCGUAUCUUUUCGUCGACCAACGGCAGCGACCAGCGAAUCAACAAGUGCAGCUGAUUCCAGCACGAAUAGCUCUUCUGUUUCUUCACUGGAGCAUCGAAAAUCCCUAUCAGGCUCAGGUGCAGGCAAGAAUCAAUGAAGGAGGAGCAAGCUACGCUACCGCAAGUAUAGUCAUUUGCUCAUAAAAUUUACAAGAUGUAUCGAAACUCUCUAGGAAAAGUGUCGUCAUUCGUUUUUUCUACAAACUGAUAACCUCUGCGUGAUAAUGAUGUGUCAGGAAGAUCCAAUCAACUGCUUUUCUCAACCGCAGGAUGACAUGGAACAUGAAGAACGUCAGAACCGACUACGUGCUCUGUGCAAUCAUCAGGAUCUGUUCCAGGAGGAGAGUGUUGAAUUUGAUACUGGAAAGCAUCGACAAAAUCAAUGUCAUAUCGUCACUAGGUUUCAUGAUUUCCUCCUGGCUAGUGAUGAAAAAGUUGGGAGUCGAUAUCUGGAUAUCUGUUCCAACUACUAGCGGUUGUCAUCAAGGAAAACUCAGUUUGCUAACUUAAAUCAUUUUAAUUGGCUCAUCCCCCAUCUUGGAACGCAAGCAUCUAGUAAGGACUCCGGAUCGAUUUGUAAAUAUCUCGCCUCUCGAGAACCAUAAUCGUGCUCCGAUGAUUUUGUAUGUGUUGUGUUCACUGUGCGUUGGUAAUGGUCGGUAUGGUUGGUUGGUCGGUAAUCCUAAUAUCCUCGUUCAUCGUGUUGAGGAAUCUGGGGUGUACCAGAAGUGUUACUUUGAAAUUACUAUGGACCAUAACGGACAAACGUGCACAAACAUAACACCGCGUUUGCGAAUUAAUUGGGCCAAUACUGCUGAAUAUGUUGAGGAUGUAAAAAUGGGGCGAAAAUGACGUUGGUAAUAAUUUGCAUACUCAUGAUUCCGGACGUGACAAAACUAUUCAUCGCAAAAGGAAUGGAAUUGCACGCUAGAUCUCAGCGUCGGUGAUACGGUUUAUGUUCAAUGGAGAGCCAAUGCAUGUUUGAUUUUAAUCUAACUUGAAUGUUUUUUUUCCGGUGAUGAGCUGCUCGUCGAAGCUAAGUUGUCAAUUUUAUUUUGGUUUCCGCGUUUCUGUCUGCGAUAUUGAACCCUAAGUUGGAAGAAUUCGGCGAUCUGCUGGUCGAGAGCACUCACAACUUGUGAGACAAAGAGCGAAUUCAACAAAGUUAAACAAAGACAACGAAAACCAUCGUAGCUCCCAUUCAGUUCCGUACAGCAUAUACGGCUAUGGCGACUAUCAGAAAGCUGUUGAUCUAUGGAUACAAUUCGGACCAACAAACUGGUGAGACGAAUGAGCCCCUUGCGGCGGAAGCAUUCAGACAGAACUUCGCAACCAUCAGAACGCACCUAGCGGAGAAGACGUAUGCUGUUAUGUCAAGACAGACAUACUUUUAGUUUGAGGACUGCAAUUCCGGAACGAUGUUGGGGAAUGAUGAUCCAUCGUGUGCUUUUGAUGGCUACAAUAUAAGCAUGAGCACAAAUAUCGAAUCCGAUUGUUCAAUACGACCAACCACGACCCCUCAAUCCAAUGUAGUUGUUCUGUUACAAGAAAACAAGCCCCAAAUUCCUACUGAAGACACAUUUCCACUGCCUCGCCAAGAGCAAAUCACAUAGAUGGUUGCCGAAAAAUUUCAAAUGUAAGUUUAUAUGAACCCCCUUCUUCGAACUCUGGGGUAUUCCAGAGCGUCACAAUUAAAUGGGCAAGUAAACUACACCUGCGCAGGGUCGAAGAUUUCGGUAGGCGAUACCUGGUCGGAGACGUAAUCGUUUUCUUCUUAAAUAUCCACGACAAGAUCAGCAAGAGAGGAAUAAAUACGAACUAAGAGUACUGGGUACUGGUGUCAUCAACUUCCUGCUAAUCAGCGCCCCAUUCUCUAGAGACAGCGAUGCAGUAGAAGGAGUUAUUGCGACGAGAAUUAUUGUUGUUUUCAUAUUUUACAUUUUUUUUAUUGUAGAACUAUUGAAAUUGUAUAUAGAAUAAGUUAUUAGUGAAAUAUUAUAUUAAAAUAACAUGUUAUCAAACACAGGAUUUUAAAUAAAACAA